Molecule: ribosomal RNA, 497 nt
Filed under: uncultured bacterium
Lineage: Bacteria
Description: partial 16S ribosomal RNA
Rfam family: Bacterial small subunit ribosomal RNA
Source: RNAcentral
GACGAACGCUGGCGGCGUGCCUAAUACAUGCAAGUUGAGCGCUGAAGGUUGGUACUUGUACCAACUGGAUGAGCAGCGCACGGGUGAGUAACGCGUGGGGAAUCUGCCUUUGAGCGGGGGACAACAUUUGGAAACGAAUGCUAAUACCGCAUAAAAACUUUAAACACAAGUUUUAAGUUUGAAAGAUGCAAUUGCAUCACUCAAAGAUGAUCCCGCGUUGUAUUAGCUAGUUGGUGAGGUAAAGGCUCACCAAGGCGAUGAUACAUAGCCGACCUGAGAGGGUGAUCGGCCACAUUGGGACUGAGACACGGCCCAAACUCCUACGGGAGGCAGCAGUAGGGAAUCUUCGGCAAUGGACGAAAGUCUGACCGAGCAACGCCGCGUGAGUGAAGAAGGGUGUCGGAUCGUAAAACUCUGUUGGUAGAGAAGAACGUUGGUGAGAGUGGAAAGCUCAUCAAGUGACGGUAACUACCCAGAAAGGGACGGCUAACUACGUG